This 246-nucleotide ribosomal RNA is filed under the name uncultured bacterium. Its description in RNAcentral is "partial 16S ribosomal RNA". It matches the Rfam family "Bacterial small subunit ribosomal RNA", at positions 114 to 354 of the family's 1533-position model. The record is from RNAcentral.
AACGUGGGUAACCUGCCCAAGAGACUGGGAUAACACCUGGAAACAGAUGCUAAUACCGGAUAACAACACUAGACGCAUGUCUAGAGUUUAAAAGAUGGUUCUGCUAUCACUCUUGGAUGGACCUGCGGUGCAUUAGCUAGUUGGUAAGGUAACGGCUUACCAAGGCAAUGAUGCAUAGCCGAGUUGAGAGACUGAUCGGCCACAUUGGGACUGAGACACGGCCCAAACUCCUACGGAAGGCAGCAG